GACGAACGCUGGCGGCGUGCUUAACACAUGCAAGUCGAACGGAAAGGCCCUGCUUUUGUGGGGUGCUCGAGUGGCGAACGGGUGAGUAACACGUGAGUAACCUGCCCUUGACUUUGGGAUAACUUCAGGAAACUGGGGCUAAUACCGGAUAGGAGCUCCUGCUGCAUGGUGGGGGUUGGAAAGUUUCGGCGGUUGGGGAUGGACUCGCGGCUUAUCAGCUUGUUGGUGGGGUAGUGGCUUACCAAGGCUUUGACGGGUAGCCGGCCUGAGAGGGUGACCGGCCACAUCGGGACUGAGAUACGGCCCAGACUCCUACGGGAGGCAGCAGUGGGGAAUAUUGCACAAUGGGCGGAAGCCUGAUGCAGCAACGCCGCGUGCGGGAUGACGGCCUUCGGGUGGUAAACCGCUUUCGCCUGUGACGAAGCGUGAGUGACGGUAAUGGGUAAAGAAGCACCGGCUAACUACGUG
RNAcentral lists this ribosomal RNA (468 nucleotides) under uncultured bacterium. RNAcentral describes it as "partial 16S ribosomal RNA". It matches the Rfam family "Bacterial small subunit ribosomal RNA", at positions 28 to 507 of the family's 1533-position model. The record is from RNAcentral.